This 542-nucleotide ribosomal RNA is filed under the name Nectriaceae sp. RNAcentral describes it as "LSU rRNA". It matches the Rfam family "Eukaryotic large subunit ribosomal RNA", at positions 77 to 644 of the family's 3401-position model. The record is from RNAcentral. Lineage: Eukaryota; Fungi; Ascomycota; Sordariomycetes; Hypocreales; Nectriaceae.
GCCCUAGUAACGGCGAGUGAAGCGGCAACAGCUCAAAUUUGAAAUCUGGCCCUCGGGUCCGAGUUGUAAUUUGUAGAGGAUGCUUUUGGUGAGGUGCCUUCCGAGUUCCCUGGAACGGGACGCCAUAGAGGGUGAGAGCCCCGUCUGGUCGGACACCGAUCCUCUGUAAAGCUCCUUCGACGAGUCGAGUAGUUUGGGAAUGCUGCUCUAAAUGGGAGGUAUAUGUCUUCUAAAGCUAAAUACCGGCCAGAGACCGAUAGCGCACAAGUAGAGUGAUCGAAAGAUGAAAAGCACUUUGAAAAGAGAGUUAAAAAGUACGUGAAAUUGUUGAAAGGGAAGCGCUUAUGACCAGACUUGGGCUUGGUUGAUCAACGGGGGUUCUCCCCCGUGCACUCUUCCUCGUCCAGGCCAGCAUCAGUUCGCUGCGGGGGAUAAAAGCUUCGGGAAUGUGGCUCCCUCGGGAGUGUUAUAGCCCGUUGCAUAAUACCCUGCGGUGGACUGAGGUUCGCGUUCUGCAAGGAUGCUGGCGUAAUGGUCAUCAG